GACGAACGCUGGCGGCGUGCUUAACACAUGCAAGUCGAACGGAAAGGCCCUGCUUUUGUGGGGUGCUCGAGUGGCGAACGGGUGAGUAACACGUGAGUAACCUGCCCUUGACUUUGGGAUAACUUCAGGAAACUGGGGCUAAUACCGGAUAGGAGCUCCUGCUGCAUGGUGGGGGUUGGAAAGUUUCGGCGGUUGGGGAUGGACUCGCGGCUUAUCAGCUUGUUGGUGGGGUAGUGGCUUACCAAGGCUUUGACGGGUAGCCGGCCUGAGGGGGUGACCGGCCACAUUGGGACUGAGAUACGGCCCAGACUGCUACGGGAGGCAGCAGUGGGGAAUAUUGCACAAUGGGCGGAAGACUGAUGCAGCAACGCCGCGUGCGGGAUGACGGCCUUCGGGUUGUAAACCGCUUUCGCCUGUGACGAAGCGUGAGUGACGGUAAUGGGUAAAGAAGCACCGGCUAAGUACGUG
Molecule: ribosomal RNA, 468 nt
Filed under: uncultured bacterium
Lineage: Bacteria
Description: partial 16S ribosomal RNA
Rfam family: Bacterial small subunit ribosomal RNA
Source: RNAcentral